UACGUAGGGUGCAAGCGUUAAUCGGAAUUACUGGGCGUAAAGCGUGCGCAGGCGGUCUCGCAAGUCCGAUGUGAAAUCCCCGGGCUCAACCUGGGAACUGCGUUGGAAACUACGAGGCUGGAGUACGGCAGAGGGGGGUGGAAUUCCACGUGUAGCAGUGAAAUGCGCAGAUAUCAGGAGGAACACCCGUAGCGAAGGCGGCACUCUGGGCCGAUACUGACACUGAGGAGCGAAAGCGUGGGGAGCGAACAGG
RNAcentral lists this ribosomal RNA (253 nucleotides) under uncultured bacterium. RNAcentral describes it as "partial 16S ribosomal RNA". It matches the Rfam family "Bacterial small subunit ribosomal RNA", at positions 524 to 776 of the family's 1533-position model. The record is from RNAcentral.